This 429-nucleotide ribosomal RNA is filed under the name Fusobacteriota bacterium. RNAcentral describes it as "Fusobacteria bacterium partial 16S ribosomal RNA". It matches the Rfam family "Bacterial small subunit ribosomal RNA", at positions 355 to 776 of the family's 1533-position model. The record is from RNAcentral. Lineage: Bacteria; Fusobacteriati; Fusobacteriota.
UGGGGAAUAUUGCGCAAUGGGCGAAAGCCUGACGCAGCGACGCCGCGUGAGGGAUGAAGGUUUUCGGAUCGUAAACCUCUGUCAGAAGGGAAGAAACCGCACUGUGCUAAUCAGCAGUGCCUUGACGGUACCUUCAAAGGAAGCACCGGCUAACUCCGUGCCAGCAGCCGCGGUAAUACGGAGGGUGCAAGCGUUAAUCGGAAUUACUGGGCGUAAAGCGCACGUAGGCUGCUUUGUAAGUCAGGGGUGAAAUCCCACGGCUCAACCGUGGAACUGCCUUUGAUACUGCUUAGCUUGAAUCCGGGAGAGGGUGGCGGAAUUCCAGGUGUAGGAGUGAAAUCCGUAGAUAUCUGGAGGAACAUCAGUGGCGAAGGCGGCCACCUGAACCGGUAUUGACGCUGAGGUGCGAAAGCGUGGGGAGCAAACAGG